RNAcentral lists this microRNA precursor (72 nucleotides) under Musca domestica (house fly). Its description in RNAcentral is "mir-2 microRNA precursor family". It matches the Rfam family "mir-2 microRNA precursor family". From Rfam's summary of the family: The miRNAs are transcribed as ~70nt precursors (modelled here) and subsequently processed by the Dicer enzyme to give a ~22nt product. In this case the mature sequence comes from the 3' arm of the precursor. The extents of the hairpin precursors are not generally known and are estimated based on hairpin prediction. Lineage: Eukaryota; Metazoa; Arthropoda; Insecta; Diptera; Muscidae. The record is from Rfam by way of RNAcentral.
UCCUUCUUCAGAGGGGCUGUGAAAUGUUUUGACUUUAAAUAGGCAUAUCACAGCCAGCUUUGAGGAGCGAUA